RNAcentral lists this ribosomal RNA (497 nucleotides) under uncultured bacterium. RNAcentral describes it as "partial 16S ribosomal RNA". It matches the Rfam family "Bacterial small subunit ribosomal RNA", at positions 28 to 507 of the family's 1533-position model. The record is from RNAcentral.
GAUGAACGCUGGCGGCGUGCCUAAUACAUGCCAGUCGAGCGAACGGACGAGAAGCUUGCUUUUCUGAUGUUAGCGGCGGACGGGUGAGUAACACGUGGAUAACCUACCUAUAAGACUGGGAUAACUUCGGGAAACCGGAGCUAAUACCGGAUAAUAUUUUGAACCGCAUGGUUCAAAAGUGAAAGACGGUCUUGCUGUCACUUAUAGAUGGAUCCGCCCUGCAUUAUCUAGUUGGUAAGGUAACGGCUUACCAAGGCAACGAUGCAUAGCCGACCUGAGAGGGUGAUCGGCCACACUGGAACUGAGACACGGUCCAGACUCCUACGGGAGGCAGCAGUAGGGAAUCUUCCGCAAUGGGCGAAAGCCUGACGGAGCAACGCCGCGUGAGUGAUGAAGGUCUUCGGAUCGUAAAACUCUGUUAUUAGGGAAGAACAUAUGUGUAAGUAACUGUGCACAUCUUGACGGUACCUAAUCAGAAAGCCACGGCUAACUACGUG